GGGGAGGUCAGAUACCUAGCCAAACCCAGACAUGUUUGCGUUGGCACUGUGGCUUCCCAAGAGCAGCGCCUCCUUGCAUGCCCUCUGAUGACUGCAGUCAGUUGAGAGAAAUCACUGCAGACAGAUACGGGGCAAACAUUU
This is a non-coding RNA of Branchiostoma floridae (Florida lancelet), 141 nucleotides long. NCBI's taxonomy places the organism in Eukaryota, Metazoa, Chordata, Leptocardii, Amphioxiformes, Branchiostomatidae. The record is from Rfam.